GUAGGUGGCAAGUGUUGUCCGGAAUUAUUGGGCGUAAAGCGCGCGCAGGCGGUUCUUUAAGUCUGAUGUGAAAGCCCACGGGCUCAACCGUGGAGGGUCAUUGGAAACUGGAGAACUUGAGUACAGAAGAGGAAAGUGGAAUUCCACGUGUAGCGGUGAAAUGCGUAGAGAUGUGGAGGAACACCAGUGGCGAAGGCGGCUUUCUGGUCUGUAACUGACGCUGAGGCGCGAAAGCGUGGGGAGCAAACAGGAUUAGAUACCCUGGUAGUCCACGCCGUAAACGAUGAGUGCUAAGUGUUAGGGGGUUUUCCGCCCCUUAGUGCUGCAGCUAACGCAUUAAGCACUCCGCCUGGGGAGUACGGCCGCAAGGCUG
This 373-nucleotide ribosomal RNA is filed under the name uncultured organism. RNAcentral describes it as "partial 16S ribosomal RNA". It matches the Rfam family "Bacterial small subunit ribosomal RNA", at positions 527 to 896 of the family's 1533-position model. The record is from RNAcentral.